This 898-nucleotide ribosomal RNA is filed under the name uncultured bacterium. Its description in RNAcentral is "bacterial SSU rRNA". It matches the Rfam family "Bacterial small subunit ribosomal RNA", at positions 21 to 911 of the family's 1533-position model. The record is from RNAcentral.
GGCUCAGAUUGAACGCUGGCGGAAUGCUUUACACAUGCAAGUCGAACGAUGAUUUCUAGCUUGCUAGAAUGAUUAGUGGCGAACGGGUGAGUAAUGUAUCGGAACGUAUCCAAUAAUGGGGGAUAACUAAUCGAAAGGUUGGCUAAUACCGCAUACGCCCUACGGGGGAAAGCAGGGGAUUCUUCGGACCUUGCGUUAAUGGAAGCGGCCGAUAUCUGAUUAGCUAGUUGGUGAGGUAAAAGCUCACCAAGGCGACGAUCAGUAGCUGGUCUGAGAGGACGACCAGCCACACUGGAACUGAGGCACGGUCCAGACUCCUACGGGAGGCAGCAGUGGGGAAUUUUGGACAAUGGGCGAAAGCCUGAUCCAGCCAUUCCGCGUGAGUGAAGAAGGCCUUCGGGUUGUAAAGCUCUUUCGCAAGGGAAGAAACGAUGCAGUCGAAUAAACUGUGUUAAUGACGGUACCUUGAUAAGAAGCACCGGCUAACUACGUGCCAGCAGCCGCGGUAAUACGUAGGGUGCAAGCGUUAAUCGGAAUUACUGGGCGUAAAGCGUGCGCAGGCGGUUUUGUAAGUCAGAUGUGAAAUCCCCGAGCUCAACUUGGGAACUGCGUUUGAAACUACAAGACUAGAAUAUGUCAGAGGGGGGUAGAAUUCCACGUGUAGCAGUGAAAUGCGUAGAGAUGUGGAGGAAUACCAAUGGCGAAGGCACCCCCCUGGGAUAAUAUUGACGCUCAUGCACGAAAGCGUGGGGAGCAAACAGGAUUAGAUACCCUGGUAGUCCACGCCCUAAACGAUGUCUACUAGUUGUUGGUGGAGUAAAAUCCAUGAGUAACGCAGCUAACGCGUGAAGUAGACCGCCUGGGGAGUACGGUCGCAAGAUUAAAACUCAAAGGAAUU